GCCUGGGUGGCUCAGUCGGUUGAGCAUUUGACUUCAGCUCAUGAUGUCAGAGUUCAUGGGUUCAAUCCCCACAUCAGGCU
Molecule: transfer RNA, 80 nt
Filed under: Felis catus (domestic cat)
Lineage: Eukaryota; Metazoa; Chordata; Mammalia; Carnivora; Felidae
Rfam family: tRNA
About the family: Transfer RNA (tRNA) molecules are approximately 80 nucleotides in length. Their secondary structure includes four short double-helical elements and three loops (D, anti-codon, and T loops). Further hydrogen bonds mediate the characteristic L-shaped molecular structure. tRNAs have two regions of fundamental functional importance: the anti-codon, which is responsible for specific mRNA codon recognition, and the 3' end, to which the tRNAs corresponding amino acid is attached (by aminoacyl-tRNA synthetases). tRNAs cope with the degeneracy of the genetic code in two manners: having more than one tRNA (with a specific anti-codon) for a particular amino acid; and 'wobble' base-pairing, i.e. permitting non-standard base-pairing at the 3rd anti-codon position.
Source: Rfam by way of RNAcentral